UGUCCUUCUAGAUUUUGGACUUACAUGAGAUGAUAAAACAUCAGUUGAAGAAGUUCAUUUGGGUAAAGAGAUGGAUAAUAUUUGGAUAUACAUGAACUCUUGGACCAUCAUCAAUAGCUUUGUUCUAUAUUAAGGCAUAAGGACAGAUGCUGAUACCAUCUCCUUUACAAGGUCAUUUUGUUACUGUCAGUGGUCAGCAUAUCUACUGCGUUGUUGUGAACCAGGAUGACGUAUUGUUAAGGCAAUUAUCCGUGUUGAAGAGAAACACGUCGCUGCUGCUUGCUUGAUGUGGCUGCAACAACAAAGCUGUUUUGACUACUCUAGGUAAAAAAUGGGGUUUGAACACUACAAAAUCAGGCACCUACAGAAUCACAGUAGGAUCUGAGUAGGUGAAUAUUGUCAUAAAAUGCUGGCCAAAUAUCUCAUUAUUUACACCUAAUAUUCAAGAAAGACAGUCAUGAGAAACUUUAUGACAUACUCAGACAGAACUGAAUCUAUUGGCAGAAUAUAUUCCCAACUAAUCAUCUCUCAUGGGAUACAACAUUGUGUUUUCAAAAUACCUUAACUGCAUUCACCUCUCGUCAUUCAGUAACAACAUUUGGGGUGGCUGAACCAACACCAGCUCCAAGGCCUUAGAUGUCCUGGAAUAUUGUGUGUUACGUGAAUGAUAGAUUAUUGUUCUGGAUAUUUAGUAACAUUAUGAAAAGGUGUUAUUAACCCAGCUAAGGACACCAGAAUCACUUUCAUGGGAAACUAGCAGAACAUUGCAAUUGGCCAAGUACCAAACUUAACUGUUUAUAAUUCUAAGAUAUGCAGAGAAAGAAUACAAGAAAAAUAAUUAGCAACCCAGCCAGUGAUUCCAAGUCUUUACUAAAGAUUAGUAAAAGAACUUUGGUGGAUGUACAAUUUGACUUAAGUACUGAAAGGUGAGUAGAAAUU
Molecule: long non-coding RNA, 939 nt
Filed under: Homo sapiens (human)
Lineage: Eukaryota; Metazoa; Chordata; Mammalia; Primates; Hominidae
Description: HSALNT0085274
Source: RNAcentral